CCUUGACCUCACCUUGACUUCUGACCCUGGGCUGAAGCACAUGUGAUUGUCCCGUUGCUCCGCCCCCCAGCUCUUGCCAUCACCUCUGGGAGAAGUGAGCCAUGUAAUCAGCAGUCCUAUGGAGAAGCGCAUGUGCCAGGGAACUGAUGUCUCCAAGCCAACCAGUGACGCAGACCUGAGCCCCGCCGAUUCCCAUUAAAACAUUUUGGUGGGCCCCUAGAGUGUCUGGGCCUGAGCCUCUGUCUGCUGCGCCUAAGGGAGAGUUUGGCCGGUGGCUUCCAAGAACAAACAAGUCAACUCACCAGUGAUAUCUCUCUGCACCCGCCUCCUUGCUCGUUUCC
Molecule: long non-coding RNA, 341 nt
Organism: Capra hircus (goat)
Lineage: Eukaryota; Metazoa; Chordata; Mammalia; Artiodactyla; Bovidae
Exons: 4
Source: RefSeq, a predicted model, not a curated record